Molecule: ribosomal RNA, 391 nt
Filed under: uncultured bacterium
Lineage: Bacteria
Description: bacterial SSU rRNA
Rfam family: Bacterial small subunit ribosomal RNA
Source: RNAcentral
GACGAACGCUGGCGGCGUGCUUAACACAUGCAAGUCGAGCGGUAAGGCCCUUUCGGGGGUACACGAGCGGCGAACGGGUGAGUAACACGUGGGUGACCUGCCCUCAGCUCUGGGAUAAGCCUGGGAAACUGGGUCUAACACCGGAUAUGACUCCAUGACGCAUGUUGUGGGGUGGAAAGCCUUGUGCGGCUGAGGAUGGGCCCGCGGCCUAUCAGCUUGUUGGUGGGGUGAUGGCCUACCAAGGCGACGACGGGUAGCCGGCCUGAGAGGGCGACCGGCCACACUGGGACUGAGACACGGCCCAGACUCCUACGGGAGGCAGCAGUGGGGAAUCUUGCGCAAUGGGCGAAAGCCUGACGCAGCGACGCCGCGUGAGGGAUGACGGCCUCGG